Long non-coding RNA from Paramisgurnus dabryanus, 4351 nucleotides. RefSeq lists it as uncharacterized. Lineage: Eukaryota; Metazoa; Chordata; Actinopteri; Cypriniformes; Cobitidae. The record is from RefSeq and is a predicted model, not a curated record.
UACCAACAUGAGAGUGAGUGAAUAAUGACCAAAUUUUCUUUUUUGGGUGAACUAUCCCUUUAACUUGUGGUAUAGGUAGGGUGGAGUCUCUAUCUAAAAACAGCAGUAAACUAUUAUUCUGUAGGGCUAGGCUUGGACACAAAUUUCACGAUUUGAUUCAAUUUCAAAUCAAUUUGAUAUUGAUUAACAUCAGCUGAAAACUAUCUUUUUAAACCCAGCCCUAUUAUUUUUACAUUGCACUCCUCAAUACCUUUCUCGUCUCCUUGCUAAAUGCAUUGCCCUAGCUACUGGGUCUGCAUUAACUUUCUGCCAGUGCUUAGAAACUUUCUCUUUGUUUGUGGGCAUCUAAAAGAAAUCAGUACACUGUCAGAAAUAGGGGUACAGUAGGGGUCCAUUUCCGUCCCCCAAGGUACAAUCUACAUAAAAGUACCCCAUAGGGCCCAUUAUUGGACCUCAAGGUACAUGUAUGUACCUUUUUGAGGGUCAAAAAGGUACAUAUUUGUUCCCAAGCAUUAAAAGGUACAUUUUUGUACCAUUUCUUUUAAAGGAUAAGGUACAAUUCUAAGAGAUAGCCUCUUGCCAUUUUUUUAUUUGUUGUUCUAGACAACUGCUGUAAAUCUGGUCAAUAAAGUAAGUAACCAUUGUGUCAAUUUUGUUUCCUUUAGUUGGGCACAUGGGUCUUGAAGUAGUGUUAGGUUUCUUCUGUUCAUUGACAAUGUGUUUAAUUUAAAAUUUUAAUGUUAAAUUUGAAUGAAAAAAAGUUAAUUUCAAUUCAUAAAAAAUGUGCUGUGAACUCAAAAACUGCUAUUGAUUAACCAUUACUUACAAACUGAAUAAAUACUGAAUAACUAAAUCCCUCACACACAACGGAAAAAACGCGCUUUUAUUUUGACACGCGCCCAUCCCCCCACAUCUCACGGUCCGACUGGAGUCGAGUUUCACAGAGCAACGCAACAGGAGGAUGACACAACAGUUAUAAGAGCAUUAACAGGUAAACACUGGAAAAUCCUUCCUUUAUCACCUUUAAAGCAUUUUUAAACUUUAAAAAUGUGUUGUUUGUCGUGACUCUUCAUUUUAAUACUGAUUCGGUUACGGUAAUUUGUAGUGAUGGCGAAGUGAAGCUUUCUUGAAGCAGUGAAGCUUUCAAGCCAAUUGUAUCGGAAAAAGGUUCAUUACUCGAAGCUUUUCAAAUCAGAGCUCAAUGAGGACCUCUGCUGGUGAAAGUGCUGUUUCACAACAUGUUCCACAACCAAACAACGUAUUAAUUUAAUUAUAAAAGGAAAACUUAAUGGAUUGGCAAAUUAAGGAUAGAUUCAUAAAUAAAUGUAACAAUAUAUUAAAUACAUGACCAAAGCAUGUUCCAUUUCAUGCGAAUGGUACUCAAAACAAAAAUAACAAAUUAAGUAUAGACCUUGACUCAAAAGUAUAUAUAUCAUAAAAAAAAUAUAUAUAUCAUAAACUCACUAUACAGUAAUCGAUUCCGUGUAAUGCAAUACUCCAAUACAACCCAUGAGGGCGCGCAGCGCAUUGCACAAUUCUAAACCUUUGAAUCAGAUAACGAAGCAGUCACGUGGGUGUGUGUGAAACGAAGCUUCGGACGUCAUUGGUCACGUGAUUUUGCCAGAACGAAUCAAGCUUCGAUACAAAGCUUCAAUGAAAAUCGGUUCGUUUUUUUGACACACGCUUCGGAGCUUCGGUGUCACUGGUAACAUCACUAGUAAUUUGUGUAAAGUUGUAUACGACGUGACAACGCGACAUUGACACAGCACUAUUGCCUCAGACUCAUUUUUAUGAGCAGGUUAAUGUGCAUUAAGUAUACCACAGUUCUGUAAGUGGAGAAAUAAUUCAUAUUUGUGUGUUUUUCUCUCAGUAAGGACUAACAUUAACUGACUGUCUGUCUGUUCUCAACCAAAGCCAUUCAAGACCUGUUAAAGUUUAGCACAAACGUUUCCCGCGCAAGUUUGAAUCUCUCUCAGUCCGGGGAGAUUGACUGACUGACUGACUGUCUACACGCCACCAAACAGUAAUGUACACAGAAACCUUUUAAAGUAAGGACUAACAUUAACUGAAUGUCUGUCUGUUUUCAACCAAAGUCAUUCAAGACCUGUUAAAGUAAGGACUAACGUUAACUGACUGUCUGUCUGUCUGUCUGUCUGUCUGUCUGUCUGCUCUCAACCAAACAGUCAUUCAAGACCUUUCAAAGUUUAGCACAAAAGUUUCCAGCACAAGUUUGGAUCUUUACCAUUGAGGGUGGCUGACUGUUCUCGACCAACCAUCAUUCACAUGCAAAAACUUUAAAGAUAAGUAUGAACAUGCCCAGAGCAGUUUUCGAUCUUUACCAUUAAGGAGGCUGACUGACUAUCCUCUACCACCCAUCAUUAACACAAGAAAAACUAAAGAAAUGUUACUCCAUAUGGACCUAUUCAUUUACUCAUUAUGCUGUGAGUUAGGGGUGACCCCGAAUAGUCGAAGAUUCGAUGCAUCGAUAGGAGAAGCCUGAUUCGACUACCAAUCUCAUAGUCGAAUCGUCGCAGAUGUGUUAUGAAAUGAGGAUCAUUUAAUUUUGGCCGUAUGGGUGCACACAUUAUCUGAUUUCACAUAUAACAGCUUUCUCACAAUAUAUUAAUAUACUGCAUAUUAUGAUAAUGCUGCAAAUAAUAUGUGAAGUAGCAGCUUUCAAUAAAUAUUUUUAAAAUGCGUUAAUAAAUCCAACAACCCCUGUGACCGGACUUCACGUCCAUAAGAGGUCUCUAUGUUAUUAAAGCCUUGCCUCUUUGUUUCGACAUUUAAAAGACAAAGCUGGCAAAUUAAACUAUGUCUUUCGUUAUUUUAAUAAUUUCUAUAUUUUAUUUUAUUUAUAAAUCACUUUGGGUUAUCUGAUUUAACUAUUUGGCUUGUGUUUUGUUUCCGUGCACUUGAGGCAUUUUGCAUAUUUGUUCUGCACUUUGUUACUUCUGACCUUAUUUUAUUAAAAAAAAUUGUAUUUAUUAUAAACGUAAAUUCCGAUCUAAUUUAAGUAUGUAAAUUUUGGAUAGCUUUUCGUUGUAUCGAUGUUGCGCUAUUGCGUGCUGGCCAUGCUUGUGCAUGUAAUUUAGCCGAACGGUUAGGUGCUCUGCGUCUCAUAUUUAGGAGUUCAUCAAACUAAACAUUAAAAAACGGAUGUUUUUCGACGAGUAUAAGUUUUUAAAAUGUAUUUAAAACAUAUAUUGUCUAUCUUAAAGUUAAACUACAAAACAGGUAAGCCGUUUUUUUUAUUUCGGUGAUGAAACGGAAACUAGUAUCUGCACCGAACCUAUUUCUGCCUGACACGAAUGUCUUUCUUGUGAUUUAAUAUUAUGGUCAGUCGGUGUUCACUUUCAAAUUAUAGCAAAGAGAUUCCUGAAAUAAAUAAUAUCAUCCGGUCUUUCUGUAUCUAAAGUGAAUACAGAGAUGAUCAAAGUCAAAGCAAGCAAGCAGGUAUUUCUGUGCUAAAUAAUAACGCGUAGUGUCUAUAUAAUCAUUAAUUUCAGUGUUUUUCUUGUUAUAAAUUAACGUUUAAUGAAUUGUAAAUAAAGAUUAGUUUUUAUCAUUUACAGUCACAAUCACAAAUUAUUUGUCAUUUCUCAUUUGUCGGGUUUUUUUGGUCAUGACUGCUUUGACGCGCUAUCUCCAAAUUAAAUAAAAACACGUAAUUGUAGCCGGAGUUUCCAAGGCAGGAAUACCUUUGUUAUUUUUUUAGGUUUAGUUAUCAAAAUGUAUUUUUGUGUGAUGUUCUGUAGAUCGUGGCUUUAAAAUGUUAUGAGGAAUAAUUAAACAAAUGUUGCCUUACAUUUUACCUUAAAAAAAAAUAUAUAUAAAUGCAUCGUCAGUUUUGUCUUCGUUUAUUACUUGAAAGACAGUUUUGGUCACUUUAUCAGACAGUUGUUUAUGUGUGCUGCUUGUGAAAGAAAAUAAAAGUUACCAAUUUGUACCUGGUCUGGCCCCCUUCCAACCCAUGCAUACAAACAUAGAUGAUUCGACUAUCGGUCGACUAUGGAAAGAUUCGAAAAUUCUGAUUCGAAUAUGUAAAUCCUUAGUCGAGGACACCCCUACUGUGAGUACACCACAGUUUUAUCAGUGAAAAAAUGUAUAUUUGUGUGUUUUCUCACUGCUUGGCAAGGACAGAUGUGGCCCUGUUAAAAAUGUUUAAAUGUUGUUUGGUUUAAGGAACAGCAUACUGAUUUUUUUUAAAUAUUCCUGUUUGGACAGUCUGUUAAAGCCAUAAAGAAAUACUUGAUAUAUUUCAUAAGUAAAGUGUAAAUGUAAUAUUAGUUUUUAAUGUUGUGACUGAACACAAUGUUGUGAAUGAUUUGGACUGAACAGCACACUUCUG